Molecule: ribosomal RNA, 619 nt
Filed under: Brevibacterium aureum
Lineage: Bacteria; Bacillati; Actinomycetota; Actinomycetes; Micrococcales; Brevibacteriaceae
Description: bacterial SSU rRNA
Rfam family: Bacterial small subunit ribosomal RNA
Source: RNAcentral
CUCGCGGCCUAUCAGCUUGUUGGUGGGGUAAUGGCCUACCAAGGCGACGACGGGUAGCCGGCCUGAGAGGGCGACCGGCCACACUGGGACUGAGACACGGCCCAGACUCCUACGGGAGGCAGCAGUGGGGAAUAUUGCACAAUGGGGGAAACCCUGAUGCAGCGACGCAGCGUGCGGGAUGACGGCCUUCGGGUUGUAAACCGCUUUCAGCAGGGAAGAAGCGAAAGUGACGGUACCUGCAGAAGAAGUACCGGCUAACUACGUGCCAGCAGCCGCGGUAAUACGUAGGGUACGAGCGUUGUCCGGAAUUAUUGGGCGUAAAGAGCUCGUAGGUGGUUGGUCACGUCUGCUGUGGAAACGCAACGCUUAACGUUGCGCGGGCAGUGGGUACGGGCUGACUAGAGUGCAGUAGGGGAGUCUGGAAUUCCUGGUGUAGCGGUGAAAUGCGCAGAUAUCAGGAGGAACACCGGUGGCGAAGGCGGGACUCUGGGCUGUAACUGACACUGAGGAGCGAAAGCAUGGGGAGCGAACAGGAUUAGAUACCCUGGUAGUCCAUGCCGUAAACGUUGGGCACUAGGUGUGGGGGACAUUCCACGUUCUCCGCGCCGUAGCUAACGCA